CCUACGGGAGGCAGCAGUGGGGAAUAUUGCACAAUGGGGGAAACCCUGAUGCAGCGACGCCGCGUGAGUGAAGAAGUAAUUCGUUAUGUAAAGCUCUAUCAGCAGGGAAGAAAAUGACGGUACCUGAGUAAGAAGCCCCGGAUAAAUACGUGACAGCAGCCGCGGUAAUACGGAGGGGGCAAGCGUUAUCCGGAUUUACUGGGUGUAAGGGGAGCGUAGACGGCAGUGCAAGUCUGGAGUGAAAGGCGGGGGCUCAACCCCCGAACUGCUCUGGAAACUGUACGGCUGGAGUGCAGGAGAGGUAAGUGGAAUGCGUAGUGUAGCGGUGAAAUGCGUAGAUAUCAGGAGGAACACCGAUGGCGAAGGCAGCUUACUGGACUGUAACUGACGUUGAGGCUCGAAAGCGUGGGGAGCAAACAGGAUUAGAUACCCGAGUAGUC
RNAcentral lists this ribosomal RNA (440 nucleotides) under uncultured bacterium. RNAcentral's name for it is "partial 16S ribosomal RNA". It matches the Rfam family "Bacterial small subunit ribosomal RNA", at positions 338 to 795 of the family's 1533-position model. The record is from RNAcentral.